AACGAACGCUGGCGGCAUGCCUAACACAUGCAAGUCGAACGAAGGCUUCGGCCUUAGUGGCGCACGGGUGCGUAACGCGUGGGAAUCUGCCCAUUGGUUCGGAAUAACAGCUGGAAACGGCUGCUAAUACCGGAUGAUGACGAAAGCCCAAAGAUUUAUCGCCAGAGGAUGAGCCCGCGUUGGAUUAGGUAGUUGGUGGGGUAAAGGCCUACCAAGCCGACGAUCCAUAGCUGGUCAGAGAGAAUGAUCAGCCACACUUGGACUGAGACACGGCCCAGACUCCUACGGGAUGCAGCAGUGCGGAAUAUUGGACAAUGGGCGCAGGGCUGAUCGAGCUAGGCCGGGUGAGUGAUGAUGGCCGGAAGGUUGUAAAGCUCUUUUACCCGGGAAGAUAAUGACGGUACCGGAAGAAUAAGCCCCGGCUAACUCCGUG
This 433-nucleotide ribosomal RNA is filed under the name uncultured bacterium. RNAcentral describes it as "partial 16S ribosomal RNA". It matches the Rfam family "Bacterial small subunit ribosomal RNA", at positions 29 to 507 of the family's 1533-position model. The record is from RNAcentral.